This 820-nucleotide long non-coding RNA is filed under the name Androctonus crassicauda. The record is from RNAcentral. Lineage: Eukaryota; Metazoa; Arthropoda; Arachnida; Scorpiones; Buthidae.
UAAAGAUAUAUCAGUGUUGUUAAUUGCAGAUGCAACUAAUACUAUUGUAAUUUAUUGCAUACACUUAUAAGAAAAGGAAAUUCUAUAUUUAAUUAGCAGUCAAUGAAAAUAAUGAGUUGAUUUUUCUCAUCCAAGCACACAGAUCCCCUGAAAUCUUUCCAUGGACUCUCAAGGGAAAGAUUUCAGGGAAUCUGUGAUUUAGAGCUUUGUUUAAAAAAAGUUUUUUACACAUUGUUUGGACUAAGCUGUAAAAAAUAAAAAGUAUAUUACACCAUUAUCAGUUAUUUCUUAAAGCAUGGUUAUUUGUAUAAAUUUAUACAAAUAAAUAUGGCAAGCCAAGAAGUCUAGGCCUGCCAUUUUAAUAUAUGCUCACCUGAUUUAAACCUCCUUGUCUUAUUGUAUUUUACAGUGUGAUCUAUGUUUAGCUAAACUCAAAAAGAAAAAUGGAAGAGAAACUAAUUUUUUAUUAACCUUUGAGAGAGAACUUACCAUAUUCUAUAUGCUUAGCAAUGAUGAAAAUACUUACAGCAUACCUUUAGCUUCUGAUAUUUAUGCCUUCCUAGCAUAUAAUUUCUCUACUUGCUCUCAAGAGGAAUAUAUCAGAAAGAUCCAUAGAAAGUUGUCUGAUAGACAAAGAGAACAUAGAAAUGAUAUUUUUAAAGCUAAGCUGUCAACGUCUCUUGCUUGCAGAUUCUAUGAAUAUAACUUAUGUAUGGACUGGCAUUGUACUAAAGUAGUUAGAUCACUUUCAUGGCUUGCAGAUGGCAACAUAGCAGAAGCUAUAAGAAUAAACUAUUGAGAAAUUGUUUAUUCUUAUAGC